RNAcentral lists this ribosomal RNA (699 nucleotides) under Bacillus paralicheniformis. RNAcentral's name for it is "bacterial SSU rRNA". The record is from RNAcentral. Lineage: Bacteria; Bacillati; Bacillota; Bacilli; Caryophanales; Bacillaceae.
CUUGCUCCCUGAUGUAGCGGCGGACGGGUGAGUAACACGUGGGUAACCUGCCUGAAGACUGGGAUAACUCCGGGAAACCGGGGCUAAUACCGGAUGCUUGAUUGAACCGCAUGGUUCAAUUAUAAAAGGUGGCUUUUAGCUACCACUUACAGAUGGACCCGCGGSGCAUUAGCUAGUUGGGAGGUAACGGCUCACCAAGGCAACGAUGCGUAGCCGACCUGAGAGGGUGAUCGGCCACACUGGGACUGAGACACGGCCAGACUCCUACGGGAGGCAGCAGUAGGGAAUCUUCCGCAAUGGACAAAGUCUGACGGACAACGCCGCGUGAGUGAUGAAGGUUUUCGGAUCGUAAAACUCUGUUGUUAGGAAGAACAAGUACCGUUCGAAUAGGGCGGUACCUUGACGGUACCUAACCAGAAAGCCACGGCUAACUACGUGCCAGCAGCCGCGGUAAUACGUAGGUGGCAAGCGUUGUCCGGAAUUAUUGGGCGUAAAGCGCGCGCAGGCGGUUUCUUAAGUCUGAUGUGAAAGCCCCCGGCUCACCGGGGAGGGUCAUUGGAAACUGGGGAACUUGAGUGCAGAAGAGGAGAGUGAAUUCCACGUGUAGCGGUGAAAUGCGUAAGAUGUGGAGGAACACCAGUGGCGAAGGCGACUCUCUGGUCUGUAACUGACGCUGAGGCGCGAAAGCGUGGGAGCGAA